AAAGAAGAUGAGGGAGGCGCACAGCACCAGGUUAGUUCCUGUAAGCAGACAAAUAGUGUCCUUUCCAGGAAGCAUCAGGAAAGAGAGGAUGGAAGGAGGAAAAAGAAGAGUCAAAGACCUAAGGCUAAGGAGGCCAAGCUGAGGAUGGCUAGUCCAGGAGUACCUGGUCAGUGACGUCAUACACCACGAUGAUGCCAUGAGCCCCCCGGUAGUAGCUGGAAGUGAUGGUCCGGAACCGUUCCUGGCCCGCUGUGUCCCACUAGGAGACAGUAGGCAGAGGAGCAGGUCAGCUGAGGUCCAGAGUCCCAGAGUCCCUUCCCUCCCAAGGUGGAUACCUCUGUACUGGGGAUUUUGGGAAGAGCGACACUCACGAUCUGAAGUUUGAUAGUUUUGCCAUCCAGCUCGAUGGUUCGGAUCUUGAAGUCCACCCCGAUGGUGCUGAUGUAGCUCUCUGUGUACGUGUCAUC
This is a long non-coding RNA of Homo sapiens (human), 467 nucleotides long. RefSeq lists it as uncharacterized. The record is from RefSeq and is a predicted model, not a curated record. NCBI's taxonomy places the organism in Eukaryota, Metazoa, Chordata, Mammalia, Primates, Hominidae. The transcript has 2 exons.